AGUUAUUUCAGUCUGAGGUUGGUUCCAGCUCAUUUCUGGUCCCUGUGCUGGUGAUACCUGGAGGAUGUCGUACUGUUGCUCCCCGUUGUGUCCAGACCUGCGAUAUCGGAAGGGCUGGAGGCCGUACGUUGGUGGUGGGUCGAGCCAAGGUGGUGGUUCUCACCUCUGG
This is a long non-coding RNA of Melanotaenia boesemani (Boeseman's rainbowfish), 169 nucleotides long. RefSeq lists it as uncharacterized. Lineage: Eukaryota; Metazoa; Chordata; Actinopteri; Atheriniformes; Melanotaeniidae. The record is from RefSeq and is a predicted model, not a curated record. The transcript has 4 exons.